Molecule: long non-coding RNA, 533 nt
Filed under: Setaria italica (foxtail millet)
Lineage: Eukaryota; Viridiplantae; Streptophyta; Magnoliopsida; Poales; Poaceae
Description: long non-coding RNA (SITA_LNC006817)
Source: RNAcentral
ACUACCCAAGUCUAGAAUUGCUUACUUGCUUACAUGAUUGGUUUACCAACCUUAAGGAAAACUCUUAAGUCAUACAUGUUGCUUAUGAAGGAUAGUUUGGAAUAUAGAACCAGACAGAAGCUAGAGAUGUAGUUCUGUCUGCUAAUUAAUCUGAUUGAGGACCGAUCCGUGUCUUAACUGCUGAUCAAGUGAUAACAUCUGAUCACUUACUGGUUAUGGGACCAGUAAAGCCCAGUAGAUUAGUAAAUUCUAUGAUCAGGAAUGCUUCGUACCCGCAUUUGACGUGCUGGAGAUUGGCAGGGGUGUAGCCUGAAACUCACAUGGAGAUCAGGCCAGACGUGGGGUCCCAUGUGGGGGUGCAUCCCUGGAUCCGGGUAGUUGUAUUCCUAAUCAUUGACUUUGCUAAUCGAGAGGUUGUGAGAUACGACCGGAACAGUCGUAUAAUGCUGGUGAUCGGGGUACUCUCCUGCAGGAUGUAAUUUGAUCCGGAUCGCCGCAAUUCUCGGUUAUGAAUGCACUUGAUCACUGUUGAG